This 29-nucleotide non-coding RNA is filed under the name Mus musculus (house mouse). The record is from RNAcentral. Lineage: Eukaryota; Metazoa; Chordata; Mammalia; Rodentia; Muridae.
UCCUCCAGGAAAUUCCCAGGACUCACUGC